AGUGAACGCUGGCGGUAGGCCUAACACAUGCAAGUCGAACGGCAGCACAGUAAGAGCUUGCUCUUACGGGUGGCGAGUGGCGGACGGGUGAGGAAUACAUCGGAAUCUACUUUUUCGUGGGGGAGAACGUAGGGAAACUUACGCUAAUACCGCAUACGACCUACGGGUGAAAGCAGGGGAUCUUCGGACCUUGCGCGAUUGAAUGAGCCGAUGUCGGAUUAGCUAGUUGGCGGGGUAAAGGCCCACCAAGGCGACGAUCCGUAGCUGCUCUGAGAGGAUGAUCAGCCACACUGGAACUGAGACACGGUCCAGACUCCUACGGGAGGCAGCAGUGGGGAAUAUUGGACAAUGGGCGCAAGCCUGAUCCAGCCAUACCGCGUGGGUGAAGAAGGCCUUCGGGUUGUAAAGCCCUUUUGUUGGGAAAGAAAAGCAGCAGGUUAAUACCCCGCUGUUCUGACGGUACCCAAAGAAUAAGCACCGGCUAACUUCGUG
RNAcentral lists this ribosomal RNA (492 nucleotides) under uncultured bacterium. RNAcentral describes it as "partial 16S ribosomal RNA". It matches the Rfam family "Bacterial small subunit ribosomal RNA", at positions 29 to 507 of the family's 1533-position model. The record is from RNAcentral.